UCAGGGCUGUGGCUCAGUGAUAGAGUAUCAGCUCUGUAGGCAGGAGGUUCUAGGUUCAAUCCCCGGUAUCUGAG
Podarcis lilfordi (Lilford's wall lizard) is the source of this 74-nucleotide non-coding RNA. The record is from the annotation of a GenBank genome assembly. NCBI's taxonomy places the organism in Eukaryota, Metazoa, Chordata, Lepidosauria, Squamata, Lacertidae.